Molecule: ribosomal RNA, 377 nt
Filed under: uncultured bacterium
Lineage: Bacteria
Description: bacterial SSU rRNA
Rfam family: Bacterial small subunit ribosomal RNA
Source: RNAcentral
UAAUACGUAGGGGGCAAGCGUUGUCCGGAAUUAUUGGGCGUAAAGCGCGUGUAGGCGGUCCGGUAAGUCGGUUGUGAAAGUCCAGGGCUCAACCCUGGGAUGCCGAUCGAUACUGUCGGACUAGAGUUCGGAAGAGGCGAGUGGAAUUCCCGGUGUAGCGGUGAAAUGCGCAGAUAUCGGGAGGAACACCAAUGGCGAAGGCAGCUCGCUGGGACGUUACUGACGCUGAGACGCGAAAGCGUGGGGAGCAAACAGGAUUAGAUACCCUGGUAGUCCACGCCGUAAACGAUGGGCACUAGGUGUGGCGGGUGUCGACUCCCGCCGUGCCGCAGCUAACGCAUUAAGUGCCCCGCCUGGGGAGUACGGCCGCAAGGCUA